AAACUCCACUUUAAAAAUAAUCAAUGUGUUCAAGUAUGCAUGUUUUUUUUUUCCAGGUCCAAUCACAAAGACCAACAGAACUCAAUAUAACAUCUCAGCCGAAACAUAUUUUUGGCAUUAGCACAUCAUCAAUAAUUGGUUCAAUCAUCCAUGACUACAUCCGCCUGAUCCCCGGUAUUGCCAACGACGAGGAGAGCAUGGCGGAGAACACUGAGCUUUAUGACAACGGGCUGAAACUUGAGCUGCUCGACCACUACGAGAGGAUGACUACAAAGAAGAGGAUGAGUUCGGAAUCCAUGCAGCAGUGGCUGACAGGAGCUGCUUUUCACUUGCACAUGAGGAUCCACCAGGUCCGACUUCACUCUGUGCCAUUAGGAUCUGUUCAAUCUCUGCGGUUGUCCUAUAAAACAGGUUGGAAUCGCCUGGUCCAAGGUUACACAGCAUAUCUACACAGAAACAUUCAGGAAACUGAAGCUCCUGAACCAUCCAGUGCUUCCAUCAUUAAAAACUCAACCAGUUUCAACACUUUUCUCUUUCAAUUUAGUCAAUCUGCUAACUUCCCUAAACUCAAACACCCCAACUCAACAGACAAAUGUUGCAAAACAGGCGGAACCAGUGAAGACUUAGUACUUAAAGAAACAAAGGCAGCCAAUGAAAGCAGUGUAAUUAGGAUAAACACAAAUAAACACAACUUCACUGAUCACAGCCUUGCAGUAGAAGAAGAAGACAAACUUGGACUGUUGGUCAUUGAGCCAUUAAGGAAUAUGAGUCACAAUGUCCAUCAUCAUCCCUGUGAGUCAGUGGCCAUUCAGCAAUCUCUGGUUACCCGGAUUAUAAACUCCAUGGACCUGGAAAGGAGUCGAAACUUUUUCCUUUACCCAGAGAAAGUUUUCCUCCGUCUGAUUAGGCAGAGGUCCGACUUUAUGGUGACGACUGUCUGACCACUGACAUGACACAGUAGUCUGAAACAGCAGAAUUUCCCCAAAUGUAUUUACUCUUGGAUGCUCUCACUUUUAGAAUCUUCUCCCCUUAGGGCAUUUCUGUUAAUUAAGGAUUGCUUUGAUUAUCUCACCUUGGUUUUUAGCUUAAAUUAAUUUUGCUUUCUGUUUUCUUUUUGUCCAACUAAUUCUAAUGACACAACACUUUGGUUGAAAAAUUAUUAUCAUUUAAAGCUUUGAGCUAUCCUAAUUGUGUUUUGUGUUUACUUUAGUUAUUUUUCUAAAAUAAAAUAAUAAUAAAAACAACA
This 1246-nucleotide long non-coding RNA is filed under the name Gouania willdenowi (blunt-snouted clingfish). Its description in RNAcentral is "lncRNA (ENSGWIG00000007012.1)". Lineage: Eukaryota; Metazoa; Chordata; Actinopteri; Blenniiformes; Gobiesocidae. The record is from RNAcentral.